CUGUUGUUAAUUAGCCUAAAACUGCUAAAUAUGUAAAAUGUGAAAGUAGAUUAACAGAAAAGGUACUUGAAACAUGAAUUUUUGUCCUUAAUUCUAACAAAUAGAAGACAUAAUUCAGUCUGCAUUUGAGAAUGUUAGAAGUUGAGUGAUCCUUGGCCACACUCAAUCUAUUUUUCUAUUUCUCAAAGAUUAUAUUCAGCUCAUGAAAAAGAAUAAAUCAGACAUGCUGGACCCAUGCUGUGAAUUAUCUGAGUAAAUGUGGUAAAACAAGGAAUACCUUUUCAUCCUCCCUACCAUCACCAAGUGGCUACUGAGAGGCUGGAAGUAAUUGGUGUGGAUGCCCAGAAGAACUGAAUUAACUGCAUGAGCAAACUUCUUAUAUUGUUUAGGCCCUACCUGAAGAUGCCCAGGGACUGCCAGUUGCCAGUCAGCUCAUUGGUAUACAGAAGACAUCACUUCAGAGAUUCCAAGCGUUUUAGAAGCUAUAUUAUCAGGAAAUGGGGAUGAAAACUAAAUAUGUAUUUUAACCAUAUCACACAUAUACACACAUUGGUUCCAGGAUCCCCAACAAUACGUAAAUCUGAGGAUGCUCAAGUCCAGUGGUCAGCCCUGUGGAACCCAUGGAUACAAAAAGUCCACCUUCCUUAUCCAUAGAUUCUGCAUCCCACCAUCACUGUGUUUUCCACCUGCAGUUGGUUAAAUCUCCAGAUGCAGAUGCAGAACUGUGGAUAAGAAGGGCUGACUGUAUAUAAUUAACUGCCAAGUGCUUGGAGGGGAGGAAUACAGCGGCUACUAGUCCAGUUUGGUCUCAUUGUCUUGACUUGUUGCCACUGCUUUAGUUCUCUUUCUACUUUGCAAAUAAUUCACCUGUUUCUUGUCUCCUCGCAGAGCCAGAUUCUCUGCUAUGUCAGAGCUAGUCAAGUGGAUCAAUAGUUUUAAUCAGAGAUCACACGUACUGAGUAGGAUGAACUGUUGUGAAGGAAACACUUUAAGGAUGGCAAAUACCUGGCGUACGUGGUAAAUCGCUCUACCUGCGCCCAUGGCCGGCCUUGGGAGUCGGUCGCUGUACUUUCUCCUGUUGAGCUCGCAAUUAUUAUCAUCAUCAUUAUUAUAUCAGCACUCAAUAGUACUACAAUCCUCUGGAAAUUAUAUAAACUUUUUUCUCAUCUCAUCCUUCAUGCAAAUUAAUGGCUCUAAUAAUAUGCCAGUGGGAUAAAUGUUUUUAUAAAGGUGACUACUUGUGGUCUUCUCAAAUAAAAAAGUUUCCUUUCCCUUUUUUUCCCUUUAUCUAUGGUACCAAUUCCUUCUUCUCGGGAUCAGAACAGUGCUGAUCUCAGUGCUGAAAAUACCUGGAAAAACAUUUAACAAAUACCAAGACUGGGCUCCAACCCAGGAGAGUUAUGUUUGAAUCUCUGGGAUGUCUUGGGAAUCUAUACUUUAAAACUUUUAACCUUUCCAGGUGAGUCUAACUUAAUAAGAUUGAGCUACUGGUUUUUGAUAGCAUGUGGAGGCUGUCACAAGGGCCUUGUAGUUGGUUUCUUCUAAGGGUAUUUGAAAGGCUUUUGCUUUGUCAUCUAGGUAUUUUUAUUUUUAUCUGUCACAGAGAGAUCAUUACAUUUUUGUUUAAUCACCCUAACAAGGGGAAUAUUAUUAUUUAAUAAUGCCACAUAACUUUCAAAGAUAGAGCCCUAACACUAAUGGAUAAUAACUACUAGUCCCAAAGAUAAAACUGUUCUCAUCUCCUAUUUAUUAAAAGAAUAGUCAACUGGAUGUUUUAGAAGAAAAAUAAUAUUGCUUAGCAUAAAAUAGGUUGGCUGUUGUUCAUUUCAAAAAACUGUUAGAUGGAUAUUGCUCUUGGGUCCUAUGGUGGAGAUUUGCCCUUCUGCUUAUGCAUACCACAUCUAUGAAUCCCUGUCCUAUGUUUAGAAAACCCUCCUACAAUGAAGGAUCAAAGCUCAGGUACAGGUUCUCACCAAUUUCUGGCAGCUUUGCCUUAAACAUGCCGUUAAGCUUAGUCUACUGAAUGCUCCCGAAAGAGGCAGGGUGCAUUUGAGAUUCAUGUCAAAUUUGGACACAGUCUCCAAGGUGGAGACAAUCCAGUGUGCAGGGUGCUGGUGGCAGCCGAUCCAGCAGCAUGUUGAUGAAUGUCCAGAGCGGCAGAACUAGGGCUUCCCAUUCCUGCAGUCAAGUUUGUGCUCAGACGCAAAUCCUUGGUUCUUGCCCAUUUUCCCAACCAGGCACUGUGGACUCUUCAGUCACUCCAUGAGCUAACAAAUACCCUUUCCAUCAUUUUCUUUACUGCUUUAAUAAAUAAAAUGUUUCUCAUUUCUUACGCUUUUAAUGAAGACAAAAAUAUAUUAACUUAAGGAAGAUCAUAUAGUUCUGUAUUAUCCACCAUCUAUCUUUGAAGGCAUCAUGGGUUUAGGAUGCUGUUUUGCCUUUUCUUAAAGAUCUGGCCAUAUGGGUCUCAAUCCUCAAUGUGACACUAAUUGGCUGGAUCAGAGGAACCAGUGUGUCAUUAGAAAGAGAACCAGAUGCCCUUCCCAUGCGGGAUGCUUGACCCAUUUCCAUUACUAGCUUGAUUCCCAUAAGACAUGAUUUCAAAGAUAUGAUUUCAUAUCUUUGCUCAUUUGACUAAACAAAUUGUAUAUCUUAUACGAAAAUAUAAAAUGCACUGAACUAAUUCAAACUGUAAGUUGAGUAAAUAAGUCUGUGUAAUAACAACAAUUUUGUAAAAAGCAUACAUAAGUUUCCCGUACAUUUACUUGCUAAGGGUGCUAGUAUUCUCAGAGAGUUAAAAAUAGGAAAACAUUAGGGAAACAUGAUUAGUUACACAAGUCCCAGGAUUCUAGAAAAUGAAACUUGAACAUAUUUCUCAGAGGAGUCAUAACUAUUCCUGAUGCUAAGAACAGAUAAAAAUCUCUCACAUGGAUUCUAAAAAAGAAAGAAAAAGGACAGUGUGGAAUAUAUGAAAAAAAUGUCCUGAAUAAUACCUUCACAAUGAAGAUGAGGACUAUUUCUAGAAGACUGUUUCAUUUAAUCUCAUAAAAUAAACCAGUUUCAUUAAAGUGCCUUGAAGAGAGGAUAGGCAAUAUAGCACAGUAACUAAAGUUGCCACCAAUAUGUCUUAAUCAAAGAAAUAAUUUUAGAAUGCCUGUGAUCAUGGAAAUCUAUUGUUGGUGCUACUUAGUAUCCAUUCGCCUUGCUUCUGUUCACGAUGUGCCAUAUUCCUGUAGGGGCACCCUGCCCUGGUUCUUGGUCUAUGUACUUUGAGUGGCACCUUUAGUUGCAGGAGAGGUUCUGUAAGUUGGGCCUGGCCAAUGGCAACAUCACGUUCCUCUGAAAUUAUGAGCAUUAUUUUCCAAAAGUCUAUUAACCAAUUGAAAGGUAUGUAUAAAAAUAACAACUUUGUUAUUUUUGGCCAUGAUUACAGAGCAGGCUGGUUGUCUGAGUUUUAAAGAAUCCCUGUCUGUCUCUUCCCUUGAAUGACCUGAAUGCACAGAAUUUUCAUUCUUCAUUCCCAAUGAACAAUGACAUUUUUCGACAUUAGAUUGCGUUCCCAUUGGAAAUAUGGGUAUUAGUUCAAAAAAAAUGGUUACAAUAUUUUGGGUAACAUUUGAAUAAGGAUUUUUAUUUAAAUUCACUCCUAGUAAUUCUCUUUACAUGAGGUCUGAGAGUAUAGUAUCCAUGCAGGAUGACUCUGUCAUACUCAUUUAAUAUUUUUUCUGCGUCUUCACAAUGUAAUUGACUUACAAUUAAAAUUAAGUUUAUGGGUCCUUUUCAUGCCUCUCUAGUUGAAGGGGAAUGUAAUUAGAUUUAAUUGAAGUUGCUUCUCCAAAUGACACCCCUAGAUACAGCAGACAGCAUACACAUGGCUUAAUCUCCUCUUGCAGAGCACAUAUGCAUUAAGUCAUUUAAUAGAAGAAGCUACACAUCGAAAGCUUUCAAAACAAAGUUGAUAAAAAUAGGAUAUGACAGAUUCCUCCCUUUAUUUGUUAAGGUUACUGCAAUUAUGUCUGAUUUUCCAGGACAUGGCCUGAUAAAAGAUGUUUUAUGAAAGUAGGGAGGUGGGGCAGAAAGCAAGGGAAAAAAUAAUCUCAUAACUUUUAUCUUUCUCAACACUUUCCCAUUAGAUAAUGAGACUGGGCUCAGGGAGAAGUUUUAUACCUUGAAUAUACAAGAUUUGCCUAAAGACUGAUCUGUAGGUGGCCUUGGUCCUACCAAUUAUGUUGUUUUUUAGAGAAAUAAUGAAAGAUCAACUUUAGAAUGAUGCUUUUAAAAUUACCUGCUCUUUGUAAAAUGUCUUUCCCAAAUUAGCUUGGAAAAAGUAUUUUGUAACAGCUUUAAGAGCAUAUUAACAAAAAGAAAUUAGACAGCUAAACAAGAACAACAAUAAGCUUUUUAGACAAUAAUCUGGUAUUUAAUUGUGAUCAACCUUAACCACAAGCAACAUUAAAAACUUGAAGAGGAAAAAACUUUGAGGUAUUAUCAGUGUGCUGAGGUUUUCAUUAGCCCAGUGGAGAUUGGAAUAUUGGCAAUUACAUGGUUAAACUCAUCAAUUGUAGAUAGUUCAACGAGAUAGUUCAAGAUGAGACAAUGAUUUCUUUCUAUUACUUGCCACUGAGGAACCUCCAAUAUAUAGUUAUCUAUGUUGAUGAAAUUAAGUGGAAAACUGGGCAACUUUAAAAUUUUUUGUUAUAUAGACAAAUAAUUAAGCAUACCUGCAUGUCAUCUGAUGGGAUUCUGUUCCAACUAUUUGUAUUUCUGGUCCUUCAUAUUUGAAAAUGGUUAUGACUGAGCUACCACUAAGAGUCAUCCACUUCCAACUGAUUUGUUUGUUUACAUGAUGAGAAGGGAUAAGGUUGGCACAGUCAUAAUCUCUUGAAACAUUUCCAUAUUUGACCAAUGACCUAGGGUUUUAAAUACUGACGGAUUAUAUUAUAUACUAUAUGGCUUUCGAUCAGAUCAAAGACACAGCCAGUUUGGGUCUUGUAAAAUAUAUAAGUAACUGUAAAGCAAUGUGUGAAAUGAAGUUGUCAAAUUAAGUAUUUUUCUGAAGACUUUACAAUUUUGUUUUAAAAAUGUAUUUAAAGGGUACAGUCCCAACUAAGAUCCCAAGCAUAGAGGAAUACAUGCCAAAUAUAAUGAAGCCUAUAACAGAGAAUUAACUAUGAGAAACUUUAAUUCUAUAUUGUGCAUUUUCAUUUUAUACAUUUUUUCACAUAAGAAUGAUUUUAUAAUGGAAAAAUAUUUUUGACCUGUUAUGUCUUCUCCCUAAAUGGAUGUGGUAGAGGGGUAGAGAUUUUAUAAGAAAAUAUUUAUUUUGUAAGCUUGGAUUCAAAUGCAAAUUGUGCAAGUUAUUUUACCACAGCUAGCAACAAAGGCAAUGAAGAGAGCAUUAGUUGAGCACCUACUUUGUACUAAGUGUUCUGCACUUUUUACAAUCCUGAAAAUAACCUGUCAAGAUGUGUUUUAUUGCCCUCAUGUUACAAAACUUUGAGUCUUGAAUAGAUUAUAUAAUUGGACAUAAUUACCUAGCUAAUACCUGGGUGAGCCCUAUUUGUGCCUGUGUUUGCAAAAUUUUGACAUACAUGCUUUUCUAUCCAGGCUACUAUUUUCUGUUCAGGAGGAAGUGACUCUUUUCUAUUCAGAUUGAAAGCUGUAGCUACAGGAACAAAUUAUUGUGAUUCAUUCAUUUAUGAAAUGUUAUUUAUAUAUCACAUGUUAAAUUUUAGCAGUUACAUCUACUUUAUAAUAAAUGACAUAGAUAUUACUAAAUAUAUGAUUGAAUGCUGAAUUCUAUCAUAUAUGUGUUUUUGGCCUUAUUGAUAUGAGCAUUUUAUUACUUUUCUGCUGAUUAAUAUGCU
Long non-coding RNA from Pan troglodytes (chimpanzee), 5867 nucleotides. RefSeq lists it as uncharacterized. The transcript has 3 exons. Lineage: Eukaryota; Metazoa; Chordata; Mammalia; Primates; Hominidae. The record is from RefSeq and is a predicted model, not a curated record.